GUCACACGUUAACUUACCCCGGAGGGACGCUAUAUCCUACAAAAGUCAGACUCAAGCUUAUGGGAAUUCAAAAGAGUUGAAAGGAGGAAGAAGAAUCUCAAGACUUGCUACGAUUUGAAACUCAAGAUCUUGAUGACCAAGUCUUGCAUGCCCAUAUACAAAAUGGAUACAUAUAUUUACAAAUGUCAAAGCAUGGUGUUGCUCCAUUCAGAGUGAGAUGGAAAGGUAUGGGAUUCUACUAACCUUUGUUAAUCUAUUUGUUGAA
Molecule: long non-coding RNA, 265 nt
Organism: Amborella trichopoda
Lineage: Eukaryota; Viridiplantae; Streptophyta; Magnoliopsida; Amborellales; Amborellaceae
Source: RefSeq, a predicted model, not a curated record